UUUCCGUAGGUGAACCUGCGGAAGGAUCAUUAUCGUAUCAAAUGUGAGGGCCAUGCGAGGGCUGUCGCUGACCCAAAAGUCGUACACACCCGACUGUGUCCUCUUGCAUAAUAAUCCAUCUCACCCGUGGUGCAUCCGCGCGCCGGCACUCUUCGGACUCAUCUCGGAGGGGGGCUCGCGUUUUCACACAAACUCCCCUUUUCAAAGUGGAGACUGACCACCUUUAUGCAUUCAAAAAAACUUUCAACUACGGAUCUCUUGGCUCUCGAAUCCAUGAAA
Molecule: unclassified non-coding RNA, 279 nt
Filed under: plant metagenome
Description: partial contains small subunit ribosomal RNA, internal transcribed spacer 1, and 5.8S ribosomal RNA
Source: RNAcentral